GGCGUGGAUGGGCGGGGCCUGGCCGUGGGCAGCGGCGGUGGCAGCGGCGGCAGGAGACGAGGGAGGGCGGGUCCGCGGCAGCUGCCUUCGGUCAGCCGGUGUCCGGCGCGGAGCACAGAGGAUGGCCUCGUGGAGGUGAUGUCCACCUGGAACUUCACGGGCUUCUGGAACACUGCCGGGCCCCCCGUCGCCUUGUACUCCGCCCGGAAGCUUGUCUGGGAGAUGACGCUGUGGCUGAGGCUGGGGAUCUGUGGAGUGAUGGAUGGCGGUCCGCAUGUGAUGUGCGUCCCCGGACGGGUGGGAGGCUCACCGACAGGAAGGCGUGAACGAUGUCAGCUUUGAUGGAGCUCAGGGGCUUGUCCUUGAUCACCACGAAGAUCUGCUCCUCCUUCUCCAGAGCGGCCUGGGAUCCUGCCCGAACAGCAGCACAGAAGUGAAGAUAGGGAGGCACAUCCAGCUGGCCCCCCUGUCCCCUCAGUCACCAGCCUCUUCUGCCUCCUUUUCCACAUCGUGCCAUCCUGCCAUCCAUCCACUGUGGGUCUGGCACUCUCGAGGGUGGGCUCCUGCCCUGGCUGUGUUCCUGCCAUGUCCCAGGCCCACCCUGGCCCUGCAGCCCAGCAGCCCAGCAGCCCAGCAAGUACAUGGAGAGGCAAAUCCAGAACCUGCAUCUGGGGCUUCUUCUCCUCCCUUGACGAAGAGACUAGAAUAACACUGAAAUGUGACUUGUUUGUAGUCUGGGAGCCACCGGCUUGGCAUCUGGCAUCAUUAACAGUCCUGUGCCUGGAAGAAGCCUGACGGAGCCAGAGAGGCAGUGCUGGCUGGUGUCUUGUGUCAUCUGGGCCAUCCAGUCAGUGGCUGGCUGCCACUUCUUAAAUGUGGUAGCCAGGUGUCUCCGAGGAAAGCAGACCAUGCUCCCUGCUAUGGUCGGCCUUGUCCAAGCAGGUGAAAGCCUCAGGGGCAAAGGCUGCCGCUUCCCCAAGCUUCACACUCAGGGCUGUGAUUUCACCCAAACCAGAUCUCCACCUGCCGAACCUAUGGUCCCAGACCUGCCAGCCCCCACAAUCACAUGAGCCAGUUCCUAUAAAUACCAGCCCCAUGCGGGCACACUCGUA
Long non-coding RNA from Canis lupus familiaris (dog), 1112 nucleotides. RefSeq lists it as uncharacterized. Lineage: Eukaryota; Metazoa; Chordata; Mammalia; Carnivora; Canidae. The transcript has 4 exons. The record is from RefSeq and is a predicted model, not a curated record.